GCUCGGCCUCCAGGCGCUGCAGCUUAAGGUCGGACAGGGCGUCAAGGCUACGGGAGCUCUGAAGGGUCAACGCUGGGCAGUCAAGCACUGGGAGAAAGGAGAAGAGGCUUCAACAUUUGUACCAACUGAGGGUCAGCAAUGAAGUUGGGUCAGCACAGAAACUCCAGCUCCUCUCACCUCUGCACAGCAACCCAGACAAAAAGCGUGAUACAAACUCCUGAGGUCUUCAGCUCGUCUGGUCUCCUAUGAUUUUUUUGACACCUCUGCCAGUUGAGUAAUAUUAAUGUUUGUUCUCCAGCUAGCCAAGGAUCAAAGCCGACCAAUCACAGAGCAUGAAAGUUCCCUCUUUCAUCUUUUUUGUGCACAAUCUCACUUCUUCAAUAAAAUGGAAAACGCUAAAGAUCUUCAGCUUCCUCUUGAUACUGGUGUUCUCCCGCUCCAGGCAGGCCAGCCUGGUCUUGAUGUCCUGAUAGGCGGUG
Oreochromis aureus is the source of this 479-nucleotide long non-coding RNA. RefSeq lists it as uncharacterized. The record is from RefSeq and is a predicted model, not a curated record. The transcript is spliced from 5 exons. Lineage: Eukaryota; Metazoa; Chordata; Actinopteri; Cichliformes; Cichlidae.